AACGAACGCUGGCGGCAUGCCUAACACAUGCAAGUCGAACGAGACCUUCGGGUCUAGUGUCGCACGGGUGCGUAACGCGUGGGAACCUGCCCUUAGGUUCGGAAUAACUCCCCGAAAGGGGUGCUAAUACCGGAUCAUGUCUUCGGACCAAAGAUUUAUCGCCUUUGGAUGUGCCCGCGUUGAAUUAGCUAGUUGGUAGGGUAAAAGCCUACCAAGGCGACGAUCCAUAGCUGGUAUGAGAGGAUGAUCAGCCACACUGGGACUGAGACACGGCCGAGACUCCUACGGGAGGCAGCAGUGGGGAAUAUUGGACCAUGGGGGAAGGCAUGAUCCAGCUAUGCCGCGUGAGUGAUGAAGGCAUUAGGGUUGUAAAGCUCUUUUACCCGGGAUGAUAAUGACAGUACCGGGAGAAUAAGCUCCGGCUAACUCCGUG
This 433-nucleotide ribosomal RNA is filed under the name uncultured bacterium. Its description in RNAcentral is "partial 16S ribosomal RNA". It matches the Rfam family "Bacterial small subunit ribosomal RNA", at positions 29 to 507 of the family's 1533-position model. The record is from RNAcentral.